Molecule: long non-coding RNA, 116 nt
Organism: Gopherus evgoodei (Goodes thornscrub tortoise)
Lineage: Eukaryota; Metazoa; Chordata; Testudines; Testudinidae
Exons: 3
Source: RefSeq, a predicted model, not a curated record
ACUCCAUCACUUGAUAUGUAUAACCGUUGGGAUUAUGUUUUCCAAUGAGCACUGAUUUGCACUUAUCAAUACUGAAUUCCAUCUCCCAUUUUGUGGCCCAGUCACCCAGUUUUGCC